Molecule: RNase P RNA, 385 nt
Filed under: Brevundimonas sp.
Lineage: Bacteria; Pseudomonadati; Pseudomonadota; Alphaproteobacteria; Caulobacterales; Caulobacteraceae
Description: RNase P RNA component class A
Rfam family: Bacterial RNase P class A
About the family: Ribonuclease P (RNase P) is a ubiquitous endoribonuclease, found in archaea, bacteria and eukarya as well as chloroplasts and mitochondria. Its best characterised activity is the generation of mature 5'-ends of tRNAs by cleaving the 5'-leader elements of precursor-tRNAs.
Source: RNAcentral
CCAGACGGUCGGGCGGUCGCGGUCGGAGCUUGCUCCGGUCGAGGAAAGUCCGGGCUCCACGGUGAAAAGGCGGCGGAUAACUUCCGCCCGGGGUGACCCGAGGGAUAGCGCCACAGAAAGCAAACCGCCCCUCCUUGAGGGGUAAGGGUGAGGGUGGGGUAAGAGCCCACCGCGGUUUCGGUAACGCGACCGGCAUGGCAAGCCCCGCCUGGAGCAAGACCGAAUAGGGAUGUCGUGCGCGCUUCGGCUCGCGGGGUUCACCGCUCCAGACGUCCGGGUUGGUUGCUUGAGGCCCCGGCAACGGGUGGUCCAGAUGAAUGAUCGUCGCCGUUCCUUGCUUCGGCAGGGUGCGGAACAGAACCCGGCUUACAGACCGUCUGGCAGC